This 5003-nucleotide long non-coding RNA is filed under the name Homo sapiens (human). Its description in RNAcentral is "non-protein coding lnc-RCC1L-1:1". The record is from RNAcentral. Lineage: Eukaryota; Metazoa; Chordata; Mammalia; Primates; Hominidae.
UUUUUUUUUUCAUUUUAAUUAACACUUUACAAAGUACAAAAUAUACUGUCUUUUUUGGGGGAACAUUAGGUAAUUUUUUUUCUCCAACAUACAGUACAUGAAUCUCGAGGGUUUUGUGUUUCUUCAACAAGAAAAUAAGCUUGAGGGCCCCGGGGGGGUAGGGAUAAGAUGGCAGGUUCUCCCCUUCACCCAGAUCUUGGGAGCGAUGGAACGCCGCUGCUGCUGCUGGUGACCCGGGCACGCCAGGUGAGGGUUGGAGGGGGUUGUGGGCAGGAAGUCCCCUGCCCCCACUACGAUGGUGGGGGCUCUGGGCAGGGCAGAGGCCCCUCAGUACACCAUCCAUCCACUCACCCCCAUCUCAGGAUAACGGAAAUGAUUUUGGCAUAGAGAAAGAGGAGGGCUUGGGACUGUUAUCAGCUCCCUACUCUUUUAGAGGGAACUCUGCUCAACUCUUCCUAGACUGUCUUCUGAAUACAGGUAAACUGAGGCAGUGGAAGGGAAACCGCACUGGCCUUGGCCUGUCUUGGGACCUGAACUUGGCCUGCUGUUCACCCUGCCACCUCCAAAGUUUGGGUGAGGGGCAGGGGUCUCCAAUUCUUCUGGACCUUCUUCCAGAAUGAGCCCCAGUAGAUGAGGGAGUGCCGGCCCCCACAAACUCUCCCUGUGAACACCAUCUGCAGGAUGGGAUGCCUUUGAAGAGUCAGCACGGGCAGCCCCAGCCCCUUCCAAUCAGAGCUGGGCUGUAUCAAACCAGAGCAUGGUGGAGGCAACGGCGUGUGAAUUCUGAGGCUAGGGAUAAAAAUAACACGUUGGCUUUUACCCUGGGCCCUUGAAUCUCUUGCUCUGGGGGGAAGCCGAGCGCCAUAUUGUGAAGACACUCAAGCAGCCCUGUGGGUUGGCCCACCUGGGGAAGGACUGAGGCCUCCUGCCUACAGCCAGGCCUCACUUAGAAGUGCAUCCUCCAAUCCUUAGCUAAGAUUUCAGACAACAGCAACCUCAUGAAUGACCCUGAGCCAGAACUGCUCAAACUGUUCCUGACACCUUUGCCCCCCUCCAGAGUAGUUCUGACAAGUGGGGUGAGGCCGUCCUACCAGAGACGCCCCACCCUCUCCCCUGGAGCCAGGGUCUGCAUUCGAGUCCUGCCCUCACUCACCUAAUCAUUUCUGCACUCAAGGCCUGACAACAAGACUGCUACUGAGAACUCAAAAUACUCCAAGAGCCAGUCCCAUAUCUCAGGUGUGGGCUCUGCACACGUGCACGCACACACUCUAAUGCAUAGGAACACAUCCACGCUCACAGGUACAUGCACAAACGUGUGCAUAAACACACCUAGGCCUGCACCCCCACUCCUAGCACACAGGCCACCCUGCACUUCCAAUUUCCAUAGCUCCUCUUCCCUUAUAGUGACAGCCACAAGCUCUCUCGGCCACCAGGCUGUCCCUGGAUGCCAUGGCUCAGGCCUCAGGCUCCUGCCUCUGCUCCAGGCUGCUCCUGGCUGGCUUCCUUCCCUGGGGCCUCUUUCGUUAUUUUCUUGUAGAGGCAGGGUCUUGCUAUGUUGACCAGGUUGGUCUUGCUAUCUUGGCCUCAAGCUAUCCUCCCACCUUGGUCUCCCAAAGUGGGCGGAUCACCUGAGGUCAGGAGUUCAAGAACAGCCUGGCCAACAUAGUGAAACCCUGUCUCUACUAAAAAUACAAAAAUUAGCCGAGCGUGGUGGUGGGUGCCUGUAAUCCCAGCUACUUGGGAGGCUGAGGCAGGAGAAUCACUUGAACCUGGGAAGCAGAGGUUGCAGCGAACCGAGAUCGCACCACUGCACUCCAGCCUGUCUCAAAAAAAAAAAAAAAAAAAGAUCCCCCCAUUGCAGGGCUGAGGUGCUCUUGCCCUAAAGCCCCCUCUCUUAGCUGGGGCUGGGAAAAGCCCUGGUUGUCACCACAUCCAGAUCUCUAGGCUCAGAAAGGGGCCCAGGGUGGCCUUAGGACUCCCCAGGGUAUCCCUGGAAAAUGUGGCCAGGAGGAGGGGGCCAGUGGGAGGUGGCCUGUGUUCACCUUUGAAGAUCACCAAAUAGUGCCCUGGGCUUUAACAGGGGCCUGGCCCUUCCUGUCUUCCCAGUCUUCUCUCCUGACCUCCAGGGCAUCCUCUGUCACCUCAGAGGGGCAAGCCCCUCCAGACCAAGCCUCCUCCUGCUGAACAAAUGUCACCCUGGCUACGCUGCUGCUUCCGGAGGCCACACUGGAAGCCUCUGAUCCCCCAGCUCCUUCCUUUCCCACCAGCAGCCUGGUGCCUGGAGGUGAGAGGAGGUGAGAAUGCCAGUGGUUUGGAGUGAGGCUUUGGGUCCCCGCCUCUGAAUCUUGGGGAGGGGAAGCUACCAGGGUCAGGCCUGCAAGCCUCUCCAGCUCAGAUGCAUGCCUCGGGCUGAGGACAGUGGUGUGGGCAGUGCCCCUUGAAGGAGGGCGGUCCUGGAGAUGCCCAUGGAGGAAGGAGGUGCAGAGUCAGCAAUGCCCAGAUCUUUGCUGGGUUAGGACGACGGGCUGAGGGAGGAAGGGGUGUCUUGGGAACCAGGGGAGCCCCACGACGAGGCAGAACUUAUCAGUGGCAGGGAGGGGUGGUCACUGCUCUGUUCCUCCCCAUCCUUCAGCUCCCACUGGUACUCUGAGUGCAGCAAGGGGAGAGGGUGGGGUUGAGACUAUCUGAGCUUUUCUUAAUGGAGAACCACACAGGGGCCAAGACACACACUCCAGGAGCUCAAGUGGCAGCCCCAGGGUCACCUGCUCACCCCUAGAAAUUCCAUGAGGCCGGGCACGGUGGCUCAUGCCUGUAAUCCCAGCACUUCGGGAGGCCAAGGUGGGUGGAUCACUUGAGGUCAGGAGUUCAAGACCAGCGUGGCCAACAUGGUGAAACCCCGUCUCUACCAAAAAUACAAAAAUUAGCCGCGUGUGGUGGUGAGUGCCUGUAAUCUCACCUACUUGGGAGGCCAAUGUAGGAGACUCGCUUGAACCCAGGAAGUGGAGGUUGCUGCAGUGAGCUGAGAUCAUGCCACAGCACUCCAGCCUGGGCGACAGAGCAAGACUCCGUCUCAAAAAAAAAAAAAAAAAAAUUCCACAUCAUAGAGAGCCCUCUUCCUCCCCCGCCAGGCACCUGCCCCAUCCGCCAGCGCCAAGACAACAGGCCCACUCCUCUGAUUACCUCCGGGGGAUGGACGGCAAACAGGUAAGGAGUUCCAUGCAACUGCGGAUGGAGCCCCUCUGAGAAACACAUGCCCCUCCAAGUGGGGUCUGGGGCCUGGAGAGACCCUCCCACCCAGCAGACCAGGAGAUAGCUGGGGGACAAGGGCAGACGGCCCCUGCCUGGGAAAAACCACACUCACACCCCACCCCGAAGAGCUGUGGAGACCAAACCAAGACUACGCUACACACAGAACGCCGAGAAGAUAAACCAAGCUUUACACGAGCAGGAUGGGGAUGGGAAAACUAAAGGGGCCCCCUGUGACCGAGGAGCAGGGUCCCCAGGGGGCAGCUCCCACGGAGCGGGCUUGAACAGGGACCACCCCUGCAGAGCCAGCCAGGGCGGAGAGCCAUACCCUGGCCCCAGCGCGCCCCGACACACAUGCUUUUCUCCAUGACACGAGGCCAGUCCCCAGGAGCAGCCCCAGGAGCACAACCUGAGAUUUCUAAGCUUGCAGGUUACAAAAAACAAAAAAAACAGAGAAGCUGCCUGCGUAAAAAGUGCCACCCACGGAGGCAGGACACAGGCAGCGUGUGGCCCAUUCAGCAGGCCCAGGUCUUCAGGGUGAGGCUGCUGGCGAGGGCAGGGGAGAGGGGGCAUUCUGGUUAAAAGCAAGAAAUUCCAAAUACUCCUCCCUCGGGAUCAACAUCCCCCCAAAUAAGGGCGCCCAGGGAUCUUGCCUGGGGAAAGUGGGGUGCAGAAGGCAUGACCCACGCCACAGCGGGCUCUCAGCACCCUUCCCACGUCCCAUGUCACAGGCUCUUUGAGCUGCUGGCUUUGUUCUCUCAAGUCAGGUCUGAGGGAACCCAUCGGCUUCUGUAAUAAUCGUAUUGCCUAUAUACUUGAAUUAAAAAUAUAUGGUGGCUCAAAUGUGCCCGCGUGUAUGGCAGACGGUGCGGGGUGGAGGCCAUCACGCCCAUACACGUGUGCACACACAGCGGGGGGCUGUGUCCACGGACUGCGCACACAGUAUAUAUUAACAUAUAUAUUGCUCAAGUAUAUAUGCUAUUUACAGUAUAUAUCUCUAUCAACAUAAAACACAGGUAUUUAUAGGUGUGUACAAUAGAUACGUCCUAGGAAGUCUAGGGGACACACGACUCUGGGGUCACGGGGCCGACACACUUGCACGGCGGGAAGGAAAGGCAGAGAAGUGACACCGUCAGGGGGAAAUGACAGAAAGGAAAAUCAAGGCCUUGCAAGGUCAGAAAGGGGACUCAGGGCUUCCACCACAGCCCUGCCCCACUUGGCCACCUCCCUUUUGGGACCAGCAAUGUACGAGUUUUGUUCUGGAGUUUUGUGCAAAACAAAUUAACUUAAAAAAAAAAAAGUUGGUUUCUAAUUAAUGUGGUGGGCCUUCAACACCCACAAGGAUUUUAAAGAACAGCUUCUCCUUCUGGUGGGCUUCCAGGGCUCAGAGGGUCCCACUCAGAGAAGCAGGGAACACUUUGUCAGGACUAGAAAAUAUCCCUUCUCCUCUGACCACAGAAACAGCACAACUCGGCUGGGUGUGGUGGCUCACGCCUGUAAUCCCGGCAUUUUGGGAGGCCGAGGCAGGCGGAUCACUUAACUCAGGAGUUCAAGACCAGCCUGAGCAAUGUUACGAAAUCCCGUCUCUAUUAAAAAAUACAAUAACUAGCCAGACGUGGUGGUGCGUGCCUGUAAUCCCAGCUACUUGGGAGGCCGAGGCAGGAGAAUCACUUGAACCUGGGAGGAGGAGGGUGUAGUGAGCCAAGAUCGUGCCACUGCAUUCCAGCCUAGGCAACAGAGCCAGACUCCCAUCUCAA